RNAcentral lists this ribosomal RNA (521 nucleotides) under uncultured bacterium. Its description in RNAcentral is "bacterial SSU rRNA". It matches the Rfam family "Bacterial small subunit ribosomal RNA", at positions 1 to 498 of the family's 1533-position model. The record is from RNAcentral.
UUUAGAGUUUGAUCCAUGGCUCAGAGCGAACGCUGGCGGCGUACCUAACACAUGCAAGUCGAGCGAGGGUCACGGUGUGAGCAAUCAUGGCGUGACUCUAGCGGCGGACGGGUGAGUAACACGUGGGUAACCUGCCCUCGAGACCGGGAUACCCCCUCGAAAGGGGGGCUAAUACUGGAUACGUUCCCCGGGUCGCACGAUCCGGGGAGGAAAGGUAGCUCGCAAGGGCUGCCGCUCGUGGAGGGGCUCGCGGCCUAUCAGCUAGUUGGUAGGGUAACGGCCUACCAAGGCGAUGACGGGUAGCUGGUCUGAGAGGAUGACCAGCCACACGGGGACUGAGACACGGCCCCGACUCCUACGGGAGGCAGCAGUGGGGAAUCUUCCGCAAUGGGCGAAAGCCUGACGGAGUGACGCCGCGUGGGGGACGAAGGCCUUCGGGUCGUAAACCCCUGUCAGAGGGAAAGACGGGUGUCGGCGUGCACAGCGCCGGCAUCUGACGGACUUUCAGAGAAGCCCCGCCA